AGCUGAAGUUGUUCUGUUUCAGUUUGUUCUGAUUUUUCUUUAUGGAUUCAUCAUUUGUCAUGAUAAUUCUCUUGUUAAUGAAAUUGGUUGCUGUCACACAGCCAGGUUAUCUCUGAGCAGACAGAAUAUAAAAGUGUCUAAUUUAGCUCUGACUUCCAGUAGUGAUUUUACCACUUCCCCUAAGCUAAAAGCUGCUAUACUGUAUAAUCUGCCCUAAUGCUUAACUUAAAUUUUCCUUGCUGUUGCUUAAAUUCAACAUUUUUUGUUUUGUCCUGACCAGUGAAUGCUCUAAUCCUUUUCUACUUAAUGAGGAAAUUUACAUAUUUCCAGAGCACACUUUCUAGUUUUUCCGCUGAUUGACUUUUAACCUUUUUUCUUAUUUUCCAGAUUACUUACUGGUUUUGCUAUUUUAAUUUGAACUAUCUUCAGAGUGACCUGUCCAUCCUUUCUGAAAUGUGUUUGCAAAUUAACUAGUUCUUACGUAGACUUAGAGUAAGCUAAAUCCUAGUAAAUAUGACUGUAUUUCAAAUGCAAUGACACUAUAAAAAUACACGUCAGUAAUUCCAUUAGUGUCUUUAACAUUAAAGGUAAAAUGUUUCUUAAUUUAAA
Molecule: long non-coding RNA, 609 nt
Organism: Neopsephotus bourkii (Bourke's parrot)
Lineage: Eukaryota; Metazoa; Chordata; Aves; Psittaciformes; Psittacidae
Exons: 2
Source: RefSeq, a predicted model, not a curated record